Molecule: ribosomal RNA, 238 nt
Filed under: uncultured bacterium
Lineage: Bacteria
Description: partial 16S ribosomal RNA
Rfam family: Bacterial small subunit ribosomal RNA
Source: RNAcentral
CACGUAGGGUGCGAGCGUUGUCCGGAAUUAUUGGGCGUAAAGAGCUCGUAGGCGGUGUGUCGCGUCGGCCGUGAAAACCUGCAGCUUAACUGUGGGCUUGCGGUCGAUACGGGCAUCACUGGAGUUCGGCAGGGGAGACUGGAAUUCCUGGUGUAGCGGUGAAAUGCGCAGAUAUCAGGAGGAACACCGGUGGCGAAGGCGGGUCUCUGGGCCGAUACUGACGUGAGGAGCGAAAGCA